Molecule: ribosomal RNA, 478 nt
Filed under: uncultured bacterium
Lineage: Bacteria
Description: bacterial SSU rRNA
Rfam family: Bacterial small subunit ribosomal RNA
Source: RNAcentral
UCGAAAGAUGUGCUAAUACCGCAUAUUCUCUGAGGAGGAAAGUAGGGGAUCGAAAGACCUUAUGCUUUUGGAGCGGCCGAUGUCUGAUUAGCUAGUUGGUAAGGUAAUGGCUUACCAAGGCGACGAUCAGUAGUUGGUCUGAGAGGACGGCCAGCCACACUGGGACUGAGACACGGCCCAGACUCCUACGGGAGGCAGCAGUGGGGAAUUUUGGACAAUGGGCGCAAGCCUGAUCCAGCAAUGCCGCGUGAGUGAAGAAGGCCUUCGGGUUGUAAAGCUCUUUCAGUCGAGAAGAAAAGGUUGUGACUAAUAAUCAUAACUCAUGACGGUAUCGACAGAAGAAGCACCGGCUAACUACGUGCCAGCAGCCGCGGUAAUACGUAGGGUGCGAGCGUUAAUCGGAAUUACUGGGCGUAAAGGGUGCGCAGGCGGUUCUGUAAGUCAGAUGUGAAAUCCCCGGGCUUAACCUGGGAACUGC